ACACGACUACAUUAGAUACCCGGUAGUCCCAGCCCUAAACGAUGCGCGUUAGGUGUAUCGGUGACCACGAGUCACCGAGGUGCCGAAGGGAAACCGUGAAACGUGCCGCCUGGGGAGUACGUCCGCAAGGAUGAAACUUAAAGGAAUUGGCGGGGGAGCACCGCAACGGGAGGAGCGUGCGGUUUAAUUGGGUUCAACACCGUAAACUCACCAGGGAAGACUGUUACAUGAAGGCCGAGAUGAAGACUCUGCUAGAUUUUCAG
RNAcentral lists this ribosomal RNA (263 nucleotides) under uncultured archaeon. Its description in RNAcentral is "partial 16S ribosomal RNA". It matches the Rfam family "Archaeal small subunit ribosomal RNA", at positions 717 to 982 of the family's 1478-position model. The record is from RNAcentral.